AAUGAACGCUGGCGGCAUGCCUAACACAUGCAAGUCGAACGAAGGCUUCGUCCUUUUUUUCGCACUUCUUCUUAACGCGUUGUAAUCUGCCCCUUUGUUCGGAAUAACAGUUAGAAAUGUCUGCUAAUACCGGUUGAUUUCGUAAGUCCAAAGAUUUAUCGCCGAGGGAUGAUCCCUCGUAGGAUUAGCUUGUUGGUUUGGUAAGAGCGCACCAAGGCGACGAUCCUUAGCUGGUCUGAGAGGAUGAUCAGCCACACUGGGACUGAGACACGGCCCAGACUGGUACGGGAGGCAGCAGAGGGGAAUAUUGGAAAAGGGGCGAAAGAAUGAUAAAGCAAUGAGGCGUGAGUGAUGAAGGGAUUAGGGUAGUAAAGCUCUUUUACACGGGAAGAUAAUGACAGUAACGGGAGAAUAAGCACCGGCUAACUACGUG
This 433-nucleotide ribosomal RNA is filed under the name uncultured bacterium. RNAcentral describes it as "partial 16S ribosomal RNA". It matches the Rfam family "Bacterial small subunit ribosomal RNA", at positions 29 to 507 of the family's 1533-position model. The record is from RNAcentral.